GUACUUGCUUUGGUAGCACACACACUAAAAUUGGAAAAAUUCAGAGAAGAUUAAUUAGCACAGGCCCUGUACAAGGAUGACAUGCAAAUCUGUGAAGCUUUCCAUAUUUUU
Loxodonta africana (African savanna elephant) is the source of this 111-nucleotide small nuclear RNA. The record is from Ensembl. NCBI's taxonomy places the organism in Eukaryota, Metazoa, Chordata, Mammalia, Proboscidea, Elephantidae.